ACCGCCGAUGAAAUUAGCAGUUAAUAUACGCGUGUACACACGGAAUGGGGGUAGUUUGAUUGGGCCAAUUCGAGGCAAUUCCUGGCGAUUGCUGGUUUCAUUGAGCCUGCGCUUAAGAGCUCAGUGCCACGCUGCCGGUCAACGGACAUGGAUCUCUUGGAAAGUAUAGGUACUCUUACCUUUCUCGUCCUUCCGAUCGAUCAUCUUCUCAUAAAUCGAUCGAUCGAUUCUAAUCCGUUUCUAACCUCUCAAUCCAAGUAUAUACCGGAUACAACUGAUACGAGGACGAAUCGAAACGGUGUGGAUGUAAAAUUGCGGGACAAUUCGAAUCAUUGAUAGUGCAUGGGACGCAAAUCGAUGGGAGGAUCGUGCAUUCGGUAGACAGAGGAUCGGUGACGCGAUGUACGCAAGUCGAUCGUCGCCGAGUGCGCUCUGUGAUCUCUCAAACCGUUUGAUCGAGGUUCAAGGUUCCGGUUCAAGGACUUCUGCGAACAGAGACACGAGAUGGAUAGCUGAUAUGUUCGAUGUGACUGAGGCUAGGGUGGAAACUAAGUGGAAUUUAUGGGAGUUGGGUUAGGUGGUACUUACUCGAUGAUGUGUGAUGUUCAAGAACAUGAAUUUCAUAGAAGAUACAGCGAUUUUAGGAAAUGGAAAUACGUGGACAGAAAUUCAGCGCGCAUCCAGCAUUCUCUUCACCAUGAUCUCCGUUCCAAGAAACAUCGAGGUCGCAGCGGGUCAAGCGCAGGUCGUCCAUAUUCGAAGUGGAAUCGUGAUGUACACGAUUUUCUCAUCGCGGUGGACCGUGCACAAGCCAACCCGCUCCGAUUCCCACAUGCCCCUCCAAGCUCCUCUGCAACAUCACCUAACACACAUCGUAAUAUCGAGGCGGCGUUCUCCAACUUGUUCGCCGGGGGGCGGUCGCAAUGGCGUGGCAGUGGCCACGAGACCAAAGAGAGACUCUCGGACCCUAACUUCAGACAGAGGAAACGUAAACGACAAAGAUGCAACGCACAUAUACCUCUAUAUACGUUCAGCCAAUACCAUGACGAACCAUUUUAUUUGGAGUGGUGGAGUGGUACCAGGCCAGAGAAAAGGCAAGAAAGCGAAAAAAGAAAAAGAAAGAAUCAAAGAGAUGAAAGAGCACAUACAGAGAGAGAGAGAGAGAGAGAGAGAGAGAGAGAGAGAGAGAGAGGGGGUGGGAGGGGGAAGUGACUCUUCUGUACAUGGGGGAUUAAAAAGAGAGACAGACGGAUGACUCUGGUGCAGAAUGGAAAGGGAGAAAAAGAGAAAGAAAGAGGAAGAAAUACAGGAGAACGGUAUAUACCGCGCCCGCAUAAAACGGCCGUCCUCUCGUGGAGCACGUAACGCGUAGUAGGUGCUACAGGAUUGGUUGGUUUCUAUGUGUGGGGGCGGCCUGGCCAGCAACCCGUUGAAAAUAUAAGCGUGUGUGAGUGUCGGUUGAUUAGCCAGAGUCAGAACGGAUCGUCGCUUAGUGCGACAGUGUCCGGUUAGUUAGGCGGCUCUUGUUGUUUCGCGCGAUCAACUCACCCGGUUGUCGAUAUAUAGAAAAUACAGCAAAAAUCCGUUCAGUCGCAAGAGAAACAAUAUACGUAAACAUUUGGAAAAUCAUUCGCCCUCUAUUUCUUUUGUUUUCUUCUUUUUUAUUGCUGCUCCUAUUUUGGAAAUGUUUUCAAAUUAACAUUUGAGCAUAGUUCCUCCGGUUCUCGAAAGUAUAAUUCGGAUCGACUGGUUCAAUCUGUUCGUGUGCCGACGACACGAUGCUUGGCUCUCGCUUCGUUAGCUUGUACUAAUCAAAAUUAAUCAUAACCCGGGCAACAAUUGAUCGCAAUUGGCUCGGAUUCCAUUACGGAGGACGCGCGAACGCCGCGACCGCCAUCCUGCGCACCGCGCACGCCUUUUUGCAUAAUUGGCCAACCGGAGGUCUUCACGAAGAACCCGAGGAAUCGGCGGUAAUAAAGGGAGCAGGAAGUGAAUGGGACACAGUUGUCUAGGGUAUUUUAAACCCUGGCUGGAUCAUAGAUCGACGAAUUUUCAUUUGUUACUACCGAGAAGAGAAGAAGAUAAAGAACAAAGUUGAAGAAACAUCGAGGAAGAGGAAACUCUCAUAUACUUUGUAUCGGAAAUCCAAGCGAGGCAUUCAAUAUUUAUUUACUAAUAGAAAGAAAUGGUUCCUGUCGAGUUGCUCUAAUUUUAAGCCUGUGAAGAUUGAAGAAGAGAGAUAAUUGAAGUCAAAAAA
Molecule: long non-coding RNA, 2257 nt
Organism: Bombus impatiens (common eastern bumble bee)
Lineage: Eukaryota; Metazoa; Arthropoda; Insecta; Hymenoptera; Apidae
Exons: 3
Source: RefSeq, a predicted model, not a curated record